This 253-nucleotide ribosomal RNA is filed under the name uncultured bacterium. RNAcentral describes it as "partial 16S ribosomal RNA". It matches the Rfam family "Bacterial small subunit ribosomal RNA", at positions 524 to 776 of the family's 1533-position model. The record is from RNAcentral.
UACGUAGGGCGCAAGCGUUGUCCGGAAUUAUUGGGCGUAAAGAGCUCGUAGGUGGCUUGUCACGUCGGGUGUGAAAGCUUGGGGCUUAACUCCAGGUCUGCAUUCGAUACGGGCUGGCUAGAGGUAGGUAGGGGAGAACGGAAUUCCUGGUGUAGCGGUGAAAUGCGCAGAUAUCAGGAGGAACACCGGUGGCGAAGGCGGUUCUCUGGGCCUUACCUGACGCUGAGGAGCGAAAGUGUGGGGAGCGAACAGG